AGGAAGAGAGAAUGCCGGAAUGAGUAGCGAGAUAGAGGUGGGAAUCCUCUAGGCCGAAUAUCCAAGGUUUCCAGAGUAAAGCUGAUCUGCUCUGGGUGAGUCGGGGCCUAAGGCGAGGACGAGAGUCGUAGCCGAUGGACAACAGGUGGAGAUUCCUGUACUGCGGUAUGACAGAACUGUGGGGACACGUAAGGAAAGCGGAAGCCGGGAAUGGAAAGCCCGGUGCAAGCGGGGUACCAGUCACUUUGGCAAAUCCGGGUGGCAAUGGGAAGCCGUGAUGCGGAGCGAAAUAAAGUAGUGAAGUCCGUGAGCCAUGCGUCAAGAAAAGCCGCUAUUGUUUAUACCGUACCCGUACCGUAAACCGACACAGGUGGAUGAGGAGAGAAUCCUAAGGCCGGCGGAAGAAGCAUUGUCAAGGAACUCGGCAAAAUGGCCCCGUAACUUAGGGAUAAGGGGUGCCUGGGAAACCAGGCCGCAGAGAAUAGGCUCAAGCAACUGUUUAGCAAAAACACAGGUCUAUGCGAAACCGAAAGGUGAGGUAUAUGGGCUGACGCCUGCCCGGUGCUGGAAGGUUAAGAGGAGAGGUUAGCGCAAGCGAAGCUUUGAAUUUAAGCCCCAGUAAACGGCGGCCGUAGCAAUAACGGUCCUAAGGUAGCGAAAUUCCUUGUCGGGUAAGUUCCGACCCGCACGAAAGGCGUAAUGAUUUGAGCGCUGUCUCGACAAUGCAUCCGGUGAAAUUGAAGUACCAGUGAAGAUGCUGGUUACCUGCGCCAGGACGGAAAGACCCCAUGGAGCUUUACUCCAGUCUGGUACUGGGACUCGGUAUUGCAUGUACAGGAUAGGUGGGAGGCUAGGAGAUGGUAACGCCAGUUGCCAUGGAGCCGCUGUUGGGAUACCACCCUUGCAGUAUUGGGUUUCUAACCAGCCGCCGUGACCCGGCGGUGGGACAAUGCCAGACGGGGAGUUUGGCUGGGGCGGUCGCCUCCGAAAGGGUAUCGGAGGCGCCCAAAGGUUCCCUCAGAAUGGACGGAAACCAUUCGAAGAGUGCAAAGCAGAAGGGAGCUUGACUGCGACACCGACGGGUGGAGCAGGUACGAAAGUAGGGCUUAGUGAUCCGGUGGUAUUAAGUGGGAAUGCCAUCGCUCAACGGAUAAAAGCUACCCUGGGAUAACAGGCUUAUCACUCCCAAGAGUUCACAUCGACGGAGUGGUUUGGCACCUGAUGUCGGCUCAUCGCAUCCUGGGGCUGUAGUAGGUCCCAAGGGUUGGGCUUUCGCCCAUUAAAGCGGUACGCGAGCUGGGUUCAGAACGUCGUGAGACAGUUCGGUCCCUAUCCGGCGUGGGCGUAGGAUAUCUGAGAGGAGCUGUCCUUAGUACGAGAGGACCGGGAUGGACGGGCCGCUGGUGCAUCGGUUAGACUGCCAAGUCUACGGCCGAGUAGCCAAGCCCGGAAGGGAUAAACGCUGAAGGCAUCUAAGCGUGAAGCCCCCCUUAAGAUGAGAUAUCCCAUUCGUUAAGAAGUAAACCCCCUUGAAGACGACGAGGUAGAUAGGGCAGAGGUGGAAGUGCAGCAAUGCAUGGAGCUGACUGUUACUAAUCGGGUGAGGGCUUGACC
Molecule: ribosomal RNA, 1614 nt
Filed under: metagenome
Description: bacterial LSU rRNA
Rfam family: Bacterial large subunit ribosomal RNA
Source: RNAcentral